ACGGUAGCAGAUGAAUAAGGAUCGGCUAACUCCGUGCCAGCAGCCGCGGUCAUACGGAGGAUCCAAGCGUUAUCCGGAAUUACUGGGCGUAAAGAGUUGCGUAGGUGGCAUAGUAAGUUGGUAGUGAAAGCGUGGGGCUCAACCUCAUAUCCAUUACUGAAACUGCUAAGCUAGAGGGCGAGAGAGGUAACUAGAAUUCCUUGUGUAGGAGUGAAAUCCGUAGAUAUAAGGAGGAAUACCGAUGGCGUAGGCAGGUUACUGGCUCGUCCCUGACACUAAGGCACGAAAGCGUGGGUAGCAAACGGGAUUAGAUACCCCGGUAGUCCACGCUGUAAACGAUGGAUGCUAGCUGUUAUGAGUGUCGACCCUUGUAGUAGCGAAGCUAACGCGUUAAGCAUCCCGCCUGUGGAGUACGGUCGCAAGACUAAAACAUAAAGGAAUUGACGGGGACCCGCACAAGCGGUGGAGCGUGUUCUUUAAUUCGAAGGUAAGCGAAGAACCUUACCAGGGCUUGACAUCCUUGGAAUUUCUCCGAAAGGAGAGAGUACUUUAUUGG
RNAcentral lists this ribosomal RNA (556 nucleotides) under uncultured bacterium. RNAcentral describes it as "bacterial SSU rRNA". It matches the Rfam family "Bacterial small subunit ribosomal RNA", at positions 472 to 1025 of the family's 1533-position model. The record is from RNAcentral.